Non-coding RNA from Rhopilema esculentum, 6196 nucleotides. The record is from RefSeq and is a predicted model, not a curated record. Lineage: Eukaryota; Metazoa; Cnidaria; Scyphozoa; Rhizostomeae; Rhizostomatidae.
ACGUCAAGAAAGGCUUUCACUAUUCGGCUCUGAAAGCCUGGAACGAUAUUCCCAUCAAUAUCAGAGAGCUCCUUACACUUCAAAUUCAAAUUCAAAAAGCAAUUGAAAAGUUAUUAUACGAGCUGAACACAACAUAAAACACGACUCCCUUGAAGAGCAGCUGCUAUAAGAUAGAUUACUGUACAUAUUUUAGCUUUAACUGUAGAUAAAUUAUAUUAAUGUAACUAGGGUAUUUAUUUUCUUACUUGGUAUUUAGUUGUAAGCUAAAGGAAUUUGUGUAUAAAGAAUAUAAAUAAUUACCCCCGUCCCAUUCUCAUCACAUGACAUCUGCGGGACUGAGGCUACUGGAAUAGAGGGCUCAGGAAGGCUUGCUAGCAAUGAUGUAGAUUAUGUCAUUGCUUGCUAGUGGUAGUUUAUCUUCUCGUUGAUUUUGGCGUGCAGUUUAAGUUUCGGCUUGAAAGGUUAUCUGUAGACAGAUAGAGCAGAGAGUUCAAGUGGACGUUAAAAAUGGCUCAAAGUAAAGAACCUCAACCCUUGAUGCUUCCACCUCUACGCUGCGGCGAGGUAAGGCUGAUGUUUAAUAAUGAAUUCAGUAUCGCGACGAGUGUUGAUGUGUUGAGAAGAGCUGAUGCUGGUUCACUGCUGCACAAUAUAUAUCUAUGGAUAGUUAGAGAACACUACAAAACAAUGUCUGCGGAGUAUUAUGUCGAUAGGCAUCCUGGAGGCAUUCAACAUAUCAUUAACUUCCUUCGAGAUGGAAGUUUACCAAGCAACAUCUUUGAAGAUGACCAGCUUCGGACAUGGAUAAAAGAAGAUGCCAUAUUUUACGAGCUCAAGACAAUGCUGAAAAAGAUUGACGAUACAGUUGACAAGUCUCCGAAAAAUAAUUGAUGAGCCUAUUGUGACUGUUCAUUUUCAGUAAUACCAACUUCUAAAUAAUAUGCAAAUUUGUAAUGUUGCAUUAAAAAUAUUGAAGUAUCUUAAUCGGAAAAUUUGAGAUUAAUCGUAAAUCCAAGUUGUAUUUCUAAUGCUUAUUUUCAUGAGAGAAUAACAAUUUUUAUGCAGAGCGUUCUCUCAAAUCAGAAACAAAAUAACAGAACCGUAUACAGCUAACACCUCUAUAAGCGGACACCUCUAUAAGACAGACACCUCGUGAAGACGGAUACUUGUUUGAAGUCCCUGCCAAACCGUAUAGGAAAAGCAGUAUGUUUGUCUUCUAUCACACGGACACCUCGCUAAGACGGACAGCGGACGCAAUUUCUUUGUCCCCAACACGCAAAAAACCGGACAAAAAACCUUUGCAAUAAAGCGGACACUGAUAAAACAACUUUUGUUUGAAAGCACUGAUUUGAAGAUAAAUUCCUCAGAUAAAGUUUACAACACAAAAUGUUUUAAUGCGUUUAUUGCAAAGGCAUAUCCUAUGUUACUGGCUUUUUUCUUUUCCGAGACUCUCGCUCUUUGUUCAUUUCGACCAAUUUUUUGCAAAGUUCUUUUUCUUUUUCAAUUUUUUGCAACGGCCAGUAACAAAACACCUCGUUUUUCAGAUCAAACUGUUUUUAGGUGAUGUCACAACAUUGUUCAAUAUCAGAUUUUACAGUACGUCAGCUUCAGCUUGUUUCUAAUUUGUUCUUAACUUCUGAAAUUUUUAAAUCCGACCUGUAUAAACAGCAUACAAAAUACCCCCCCCCCCUCCUCCGCAUCUUCCAGACCCUACACUUUCAUUCUAAAAAGGGUGUGAAGUGAGGUUGUUUUAAUAGUUUUGUAAAGGAAAAGGUUGUAAAAAAUUACUGUGCUGGAGACGUGCUCACACAUGUGAUGUGGGAAAUUAGUAACUUAUCAGUACGUAUAGAUCUAGUUAUCCGCAUGUUUAAGGAACCAAAUUAGAUACUUACAUAUACAGUAAAAUUAAUAGACUCGUGGAAACAGAAAUUAAGGAACCAUAAAUGCACACAACAUCCUGCAUGAUGCACAGGCACAUGGUUAAAUCGCAGUAAAAACUGUAAGUCAAGCAGAUUGACACUGUAUGCUUGUGUCAAUAACAAAUGUAAAAUACUUUCCUAUUUACUGUAGCGAAUAUGAAUCAAAUAAUGGCGGAAAAUUUUGCAAAAAGGGCGUUUCUCUGCAUUUGCGAGUGUUUGAAGGGCGUGGUAAAAAAAAUUUCUGGGGGCUGCGCCCCAGACCCCCCUGCUUUUCCGGCCCUGGGUACGCCACUGCGUAGAACAAGGGAAGAGCAAGAAGACUUCAAUCAAAGGUGAUGCACAACAAAUUUCGCGAGGAAAAGCUGCGAGACUUAAAAAAGGAUUCAGCUACGAUACAAAGCUUUUUUAUCAGGCAAAAGCCACAAACGUCACAAAAAAAGCAGGGUCUUGCUCUUGCUCCUUUCAAUAAACUCAUACAAGUUUUUGUAAAUUUAUUUUUAGGCCUAUACUAUCACAAGUCAAAUGCACCCCCGCCCCACAGGGGUAUGGUGCUUCACGAUAAAAUUUCAACAGGGGUGCCCAUUUUUUAGUGUCAGAAAUUGACAAAUCGAUUUUUUUGGGCUGCUGAAAAUCAUUCUGGUUUUCCGGAGGAUUAGAAAAUUAUCUGUCACAAGUGGAGUGUGAUAGAAGCUUUUCCCCUUUAAAUAUAUAAAGAACAGAUUACAUAGUAAUUUUUGGCAGCCAAACCUGGAGUCCUUCAUGUUAAUGUUCUUAGAAAAACACCUGUUAGAUGACAUCCUGAACUAUCACAUUAUCAAUAUAUAAGUUACUAUAUUUAGAAAUAAAGUCAAACCAAGGAGUUAAAUUUUUUGUUUAUUUACUGUUUAGUCAACAAAUGACAUAUUUAUCAUGUUCUCUUAAGCAUAUUCUGUUAUGCUUAUUCACUUGUUAUGUUAUCCAAGCAUUCAACCAUGCACAAAAUUACUGAAUUUAAAAACUUGUUUUCCUUGCAGACUAACAUUUACUUGUAUUUUCCGAGGAGAUUUUUAUUUGCUAUUAUUAUGGGCCGGUUUGAUCAAAAUUUGCCCGGGCCAAAAAAAUUAGACAGUCCGCCCCUGGUUGAUGGAUACAAACAAGAUAUCAAGUAACCUUCACUCCACUUAAAGGGGAACUGAAGUGAAAAAUGAAAAUCAUUCAAAAAGUAGUUUUCAUCGUGCUGAUUUCGGAUAUCGACACGAAAUUAGUGUUUUUCUUUUCGUUUUCCUGCAUUUAACGCGCAAAGUGUGAAAUUUCUCCAUUUCCGUGGCGGAGAGGUCUGGAGACAAGUUUCAGGCGCUGACGUAAAGUCGUGGACACGUGCCCCGAACCUAACGAAAACAACAGUGUAGUAGAGUGAAUCGGAGGGAGGGAAUUUGGUUAGUAGUUAAAGUUUCAGAUCGCAAUUUUCACGACAGCUCUUCAGGAAUGACAACAGACUUAAGAUCGAGCGACGAUGAAGUGUUUGGAGCAUGUGGUGGUGAAGUACUUGCCCUACCAAGGGCGAACGGGACCUGCGAAAGUGGCGAUGAAGAUUAGCCUAGGCCCGAUGAGAUCCCAGAGGAUGAGGAUGAAUUAUCUCCCACGACGUGCUUGUUUUGUUGGUAGAAAUGAGGAAGUAAAUAAAUGGUAUCUACAAACAGUGGCCGAUCAAUGUAUGGUUUGCUGGUUUUGGGGUAUUUGUGCUGGAAUAACUGGACAACUUUAAGUAUGCAUUUAUCACAAAUGUAAAGAAAAUAACUUUAUUCAAAGAAGACAAGAGUUUCAAAAUUCUGCAGAGAGACAAUGAAAAUGCAAAAAUCAGCUACCUACUACAUAUACAGUGGAGAACAGGGUUAUAUACAGGGGUUAUUCAAAAGGACCAGACUUUUUGUUCAAAAUAGCAAGAAGAGAAAUUUGUUGAAACUAGUGGGACAAUGGCCAAAUCUUGUCAGCCCUAGGCCAAAUCACUAGAUUAGUCACAUCAAGGGGUGGGGGGGAUUCAGCAAGGCUUGAUAUUUUUAAGAUUCCUAAGGUGUACUUUUCAACAUAGUUCACUCACAACAAAAUGUGUAGAAUAGUUUGGAUUUGAUCAAGAUUUUCUCUUACAAUAAUGGUCCUGUACCACCUGCUUGGUAACAUUUUUUAUAAAUAAUCAGAGGAAAAUGUUUUACCUUCAGGGUACAAUGUUCUUUUAAUGUAUUCUGUCACUGCCUGUUGUUAAGAUACACUGUUUUUAAAUUUUGAGAAUGAAGUUUUUUUGUGCCCAAUGGUUGUAUUUUUUUGAAAUUCGCUUCAACUCAACAUUUAAUAAACUUGGAAACAUAUACAUCAUUUAAUGGUUGUGCUUUAAAUCCUCCCCCUUUAUGUACAUCCUGGUAUGGAUUGUUUUUUAUGCCUGGAGUUAAAUCAGAAAAUGCUUUGAUAUCAUGUUCUGUAGACAAGGCAUGAGAAAUCAUGUUUGAAGGGGUAUUUCUGAAGUGGGGGACCACUUUUAUCAUUUUCUGCAAGUAAAUUGUGUGGGUUUGCCAAGUUUCAUGGCUGUAUAGUUAACAUACUAACGUAUUCUGAGUACUGGGCACAAGUAUCCAGUCUAAAAAUAGUACAAGGGUAGUUCUGAGGAUGGGGACCAUUUUUAUCUUUUUCAGCAAGUCAAAUUGUGUAGAUUUCCCAAGUUUCAUGGCUGUAUGGUUAACAGAAAUAUAUUUACCAUACUAUUGUAUUCUGAGUACUGGGCACAAGUACCCCAGUCCAAAAAUAGCAAGAGGGGCAUUUCUGAGGGUGGGGACCAUUCUUAUCAUUUUCAGAAGCCAAAUUGUGUCGGUUUGCCAAGUUUCGUGGCUGUAUAGUUAACAGAAAUAGAUUGACCAUACUGACGUAUUUUGAGUACUGGGCACAAGUACCCCAGUCUAAAAAUAGCACAAGGGGCAUUUCUGAGGGUGGGGACCAUUCUUAUCAUUUUCAGCAAGUCAAAUUGUGUCGGUUUGCCAAGUUUCAUGGCUGUAUAGUUCACAGAAAUAGAUUGACCAUGCCAACAUAUUCUGAGUACUGGGCACAAGUACCCCAGUCCAAAAAUAGCACAAGGGGCAUUUCUGAGGGUGGGGACCAUUCUUAUCAUUUUCAGCAAGCCAAAUUGUGUCGGUUUGCCAAGUUUCGUGGCUGUAUAGUUAACAGAAAUAGAUUGACCAUACUGACGAAUUUUGAGUACUGGGCACAAGUACCCCAGUCCAAAAAUAGCACAAGGGGCAUUUCUGAGGGUGGGGACCAUUCUUAUCAUUUUCAGCAAGCCAAAUUGUGUCGGUUUGCCAAGUUUCGUGGCUGUAUAGUUAACAGAAAUAGAUUGACCAUACUGACGUAUUUUGAGUACUGGGCACAAGUACCCCAGUCUAAAAAUAGCACAAGGGGCAUUUCUGAGGGUGGGGACCAUUCUUAUCAUUUUCAGCAAGUCAAAUUGUGUCGGUUUGCCAAGUUUCAUGGCUGUAUAGUUCACAGAAAUAGAUUGACCAUGCCAACAUAUUCUGAGUACUGGGCACAAGUACCCCAGUCCAAAAAUAGCACAAGGGGCAUUUCUGAGGGUGGGGACCAUUCUUAUCAUUUUCAGCAAGCCAAAUUGUGUCGGUUUGCCAAGUUUCGUGGCUGUAUAGUUAACAGAAAUAGAUUGACCAUACUGACGAAUUUUGAGUACUGGGCACAAGUACCCCAGUCUAAAAAUAGCACAAGGGGCAUUUCUGAGGGUGGGGACCAUUCUUAUCAUUUUCAGCAAGUCAAAUUGUGUCGGUUUGCCAAGUUUCAUGGCUGUAUAUUUCACAGAAAUAGAUUGACCAUGCCAACAUAUUCUGAGUACUGAGCACAAGUACCCCAGGCUAAAAAUAGCACAAGGGUUUUUUUCCCAAAAUGGUUCUACAUUCUAUCUUGUUACGCAUAUCGAAUUCUGUAUUUUCACCAAGUUUCAUGCUUUUAUCACAAUUUUCACGAUUGUUACCUGUCAUGAACCUUAUCAAACUCACUACUACAUUUCAUCAAAACAUCUCUUCGUGUCCACCACUUUACGUCACAAGGUCACGUGACACAGUGGUCUGACCGCGUUCUCGCUCCGCCAUCGAUGAGGGCAAAUUUCGACUUUAAAAACUUAAUAACUUAAAAACUACAUAACGUAUUUAAAAAAUUCAAACGGUUUUUGAAUCAGCACGGGAACUUUUAUCAGUGGUAAAAAAAUCGUUUUUCAUUUCAGUUCCCCUUUAAGUGGAGUAAAGGUUACUUGA